CGGAGGGUGCGAGCGUUGUCCGGAAUCACUGGGCGUAAAGGGCGCGUAGGCGGCUCGUUAAGGGUGCGGUGAAAGCCCGGGGCUUAACCCCGGGUCGGCCGUGCCGACUGAUGAGCUCGAGCACUGUAGAGGCAGGUGGAAUUCCGGGUGUAGCGGUGGAAUGCGUAGAGAUCCGGAAGAACACCAGUGGCGAAGGCGGCCUGCUGGGCAGUGGCUGACGCUGAGGCGCGACAGCGUGGGGAGCAAACAGGAUUAGAUACCCUGGUAGUCCACGCCGUAAACGAUGGGCACUAGGUGCCUGGGGGAGCGACCCCCUGGGUGCCGGCGCUAACGCAUGAAGUGCCCCGCCUGGGGAGUACGGCCGCAAGGCUG
This 372-nucleotide ribosomal RNA is filed under the name uncultured organism. RNAcentral's name for it is "bacterial SSU rRNA". It matches the Rfam family "Bacterial small subunit ribosomal RNA", at positions 526 to 896 of the family's 1533-position model. The record is from RNAcentral.